GGUUUUGUUUCCAGGAAACCUCAAAGUAUUUUGCUUCUCUUCCUUUUUCUGUCUGUUCUCCCUCUUUUAUAACCUGAUUUUCAUGGCUUUGUGGGCUCAAAUGAGAGAGGUCCAAGUUUGAGAUUUUUUCUUUUAUUUAUUUAUUUAUUUAUUUAUUUAAUUUAUUUAUUUAUUUUUUCAUUUUGUUUUUUUUCGGCUUUUUUUU
Molecule: long non-coding RNA, 205 nt
Filed under: Lathyrus oleraceus (garden pea)
Lineage: Eukaryota; Viridiplantae; Streptophyta; Magnoliopsida; Fabales; Fabaceae
Description: Pisum sativum (pea) long non-coding RNA (PSAT_LNC030029)
Source: RNAcentral